AUCAAAGGGCAACAUAGUCUAUUUCAAAGUGAUUGAUGGAUUAAAAUGAUCAAUUCCCUUUUUAAAUGUACCAUUUUCUCUUUCAUUUUCGUCUAAUUUCUUAGCAGAUGUUUAUCAAUUGAGCUAAAUUUACACAAUGUGAAAGGUAAAGAGGCAAAAUUAAUACAAUGGGAACUACAAUGACUAAAUUGACGAAAGAGUCAAAUUAUAGAGACAAUUGGUAUAAUUUGCCCAUGUUUUAUUAGAAUCACAAAAUAAUAGGGUACCUUGUUAAAAUGUUUCUCAUCACAUGUGUUCUUGAAGUGGAUUAUAUUUGGAGUUGGGUGUGUAUGUCUUUGCAAUUCUAUUUAAAAUAUAUUAGUGGAUACAUGUGUAAGCUUUGAUGAUUUUACUAAUAAACACUUGAAAGAAUCUCAUUACAGGGAGAUCCUUAUUGUGCCCUAACAACAUCAAUCUCAGUUCGGAGGUUCAUGUUGGAAUCAUUGGCGUGGGAAAAAUGGCCAUGUUUCUCUAACAAUCGGUUCUUGGAAGAAGCUAAGAAAUCUUCUAAGCUAGGUUUAGCUGCCCAGAGGAAAGCUUAUUUCGAAGCCCUUUACAAGAGAAAUGCUGCUAAGAAAGCUGGAGACAGCUCAAAUCCAGCGAGUAAUGACUUGUCUGAACCAAAUGUUAUGGAAGAGACAGCUCAAACCCUCCAGGAAUUCCAACUAGGGCAUCAGUGAAUGGGUUAUCAGUGCAUUCUUCAGCAACUCCUCAAGAAGAAAGAAGAAGAAGUAGAGCAGUGGAUGAUUGCUUAGUUUCUGGAAGGAGGAUAGCAGAUGGGAAAUCAGAUGGGAUAGAGUAAGAUCUUAGUUUGUCUAUGUUGUGGAUUGUGGAGUUCUCAUUAGAUGCUCAUAUGACUAUCUGCUGAGUGUAAAGAUUUUGUAUUGCAUACUAGGAACAAUAGCUCCAAGAAAGUUCCAAAAGUCUUGCUAGUAACAUACAGAAGGCAGCAUAACAGAAAGUGUAAGGGAAGCUGCUUCAUUUUGGAUAGAUAGUUUGUGGGUUCGACCAUGAGAGUAGCCACUUUGUGCAAAUAAUGUUAGGAGAAAGCUGACGACGGCUUCAAAAAAAUUAUCAGAGUACUGCUUUCAGGGCUAAGUCAAUUGUAAAUUCUAAUCCUGAAACAAAAUCACCAAGUAAUUGCAUGAAGAAGAUCUCACUGACACAGCCCCCAUCACCAAAACUUGGACGGAAGACAAUUCCCGGCAUGGUUCAGGAUACUGGUUCCCGACCUCCUAGGAGGCCUUCAGUCAAGAUUUUGCCCUCCUCCAAGGAUGUUACAGAAAAGAGUAUUCAAAAUUCAAUUCAUUCUAUCAAUUCACUGCUGAGGAAGAAUAUGCGUGAAAACACUUCCCCAAAUAUCCAAUUUUGAGUGGUGGAGCCAGAGGAUUGAUUGCCUUUCCAAGCUUACACAUAUAGAACACUACUAAAGGAUUGAUUGCCUUUCCAAGAAUUUAGAAGAGAACCAAUACAAAAUUCCACAUCUACUAAAGGUUGAAAGCAACCAUCAAGACAAAUUAGGCAUGUCCCACUUCUAUUUUCUACCAUUUGGAUCCAUUAUGUUCUUUUGGGUACAUACACCGCUGAUUCCUCUAGUUUGAAUAAAAUUUUAGUUUGGUUCUCGCAGUGUCAA
Camellia sinensis is the source of this 1672-nucleotide non-coding RNA. The record is from RefSeq and is a predicted model, not a curated record. Lineage: Eukaryota; Viridiplantae; Streptophyta; Magnoliopsida; Ericales; Theaceae.